Molecule: ribosomal RNA, 238 nt
Filed under: uncultured bacterium
Lineage: Bacteria
Description: partial 16S ribosomal RNA
Rfam family: Bacterial small subunit ribosomal RNA
Source: RNAcentral
GAUCAUGGUUCAGGAUGAACGCUGGCGGCGUGCUUAACACAUGCAAGUCGAACGAAGCACUCUAUUUGAUUUUCUUCGGAAAUGAAGAUUUUGUGACUGAGUGGCGGACGGGUGAGUAACGCGUGGGUAACCUGCCUCAUACAGGGGGAUAACAGUUGGAAACGACUGCUAAUACCGCAUAAGCGCACAGGAUCGCAUGAUCCGGUGUGAAAAACUCCGGUGGUAUGAGAUGGACCCG